This 396-nucleotide ribosomal RNA is filed under the name uncultured bacterium. RNAcentral's name for it is "bacterial SSU rRNA". It matches the Rfam family "Bacterial small subunit ribosomal RNA", at positions 28 to 417 of the family's 1533-position model. The record is from RNAcentral.
GACGAACGCUGGCGGCGUGCUUAAUACAUGCAAGUGGAGCGACGAACCAGGGCUUGCCCUGGGGCAGAGCCGCGAACGGGUGAGUAACACGUGGGUAACCUGCCUCGAUGACCGGGACAACCCGAGGAAACUCGGGCUAAUACCGGAUGUGCUCUCCUCACAUCAGUGGGAAGAGGAAAGGAAGCUUCGGCCUCCGCAUCGGGAUGGGCCCGCGGCCCAUUAGCUAGUUGGUGGGGCAAUGGCCUACCAAGGCUUCGAUGGGUAGCUGUUCUGAGAGGAAGAUCAGCCACACUGGGACUGAGACACGGCCCAGACUCCUACGGGAGGCAGCAGUAGGGAAUCUUGCGCAAUGCGCGAAAGCGUGACGCAGCAACGCCGCGUGCGGGAAGACGGCCU